GGCGUGUACUGCUUGGCUGGGCCUUACUUCUUGGUGAGCCGGCGUGCCCUUUAUUGGUGUGCGUUGGGGAACCAGGACUUUUACCUUGAGAAAAUUAGAGUGUUCAAAGCAGGCCUAUGCCUGAAUACAUUAGCAUGGAAUAAUAGAAUAGGACGUGCGGUUCUAUUUUGUUGGUUUCUAGAGUCACUGUAAUGAUUAAUAGGGACAGUUGGGGGCAUUGGUAUUGAGUCGCUAGAGGUGAAAUUCUUGGAUUGACUCAAGACCGACUAUUGCGAAAGCAUUUGCCAAGGAUGUUUUCAUUAAUCAAGAACGAAGGUUAGGGGAUCGAAAACGAUCAGAUACCGUUGUAGUCUUAACAGUAAACUAUGCCGACUAGGGAUUGGAUGACCUCAAAAUUGAUGUGUCAUUUGGCACCUUACGAGAAAUCAAAGUCUUUGGGUUCUGGGGGGAGUAUGGUUGCAAGGCUGAAACUUAAAGGAAUUGACAGAAGGGCACCACCAGGUGUGGAGCCUGCGGCUUAAUUUGACUCAACACGGGGAAACUCACCAGGUCCAGACAUAACUAGGAUUGACAGAUUGAUAGCUCUUUCAUGAUUUUAUGGGUGGUGGUGCAUGGCCAUUCUUAGUUGGUGGAGUGAUUUGUCUGGUUAAUUCCGAUAACGAACGAGACCUUAACCUGCUAAAUAGCCAGGCCGGCUUCGGCUGGUCUCUGGCUUCUUAGAGGGACUGUCAG
RNAcentral lists this ribosomal RNA (732 nucleotides) under uncultured eukaryote. RNAcentral's name for it is "SSU rRNA". It matches the Rfam family "Eukaryotic small subunit ribosomal RNA", at positions 672 to 1426 of the family's 1831-position model. The record is from RNAcentral.